RNAcentral lists this ribosomal RNA (774 nucleotides) under uncultured bacterium. RNAcentral's name for it is "bacterial SSU rRNA". It matches the Rfam family "Bacterial small subunit ribosomal RNA", at positions 28 to 774 of the family's 1533-position model. The record is from RNAcentral.
AAUGAACGCUGGCGGCGUGCUUAACACAUGCAAGUCGCACGAGAACGCUUCAGCUUGCUGAAGCUAGUAAAGUGGCGCACGGGUGAGUAUCGCGUGGGUAAUCUACCCUUCGGUCGGGAAUAACGCUGCGAAAGUGACGCUAAUACCCGAUAACAUUUCGGUGCCUUUGGUCGCCGAAAUCAAAGGUGGCCUCUCCAUGGAAGCUACCGCAGGAGGAUGAGCCCGCGUCCCAUUAGCUUGUUGGCGGGGUAAAAGCCCACCAAGGCGACGAUGGGUAGCUGGUCUGAGAGGAUGAUCAGCCACACUGGAACUGACACACGGUCCAGACUCCUACGGGAGGCAGCAGUGAGGAAUUUUGCGCAAUGGGCGAAAGCCUGACGCAGCAACGCCGCGUGGGUGAUGAAGGCCUUUGGGUCGUAAAGCCCUGUCAAGUGGGAAGAACCCGCAUGGUGCGAAUAAUGCCAUGCGCUGACGGUACCACUGAAGGAAGCACCGGCUAACUCCGUGCCAGCAGCCGCGGUAAUACGGGGGGUGCGAGCGUUAUUCGGAAUCAUUGGGCGUAAAGGGCGCGUAGGCGGCUACCUAAGUCAGGCGUGAAAGCCCGGGGCUUAACCCCGGAAGUGCGUUUGAUACUGGGUGGCUCGAGUAUGGGAGAGGGAAGUGGAAUUCCUGGUGUAGAGGUGAAAUUCGUAGAUAUCAGGAGGAACAUCGGUGGCGAAGGCGACUUCCUGGACCAAUACUGACGCUGAGGCGCGAAGGCGUGGGUAGCAAACA